AUCGCUCCUCGGUCUUUUGGCUAAGAUCAAGUGUAGUAUCUGUUCUUAUCAGUUUAAUAUCUGAUAUGUUCCCUACCUGGGGACCAUAUAUUAAAUUGAUUUUUGGAACUGGGAGAUGAAAUAGGGGCUUGCUCCAUACAUCGGCCUGGUAUUGCAGUACCUCCAGGAGCGGUGCAUCUCCU
Molecule: small nuclear RNA, 182 nt
Organism: Fundulus heteroclitus (mummichog)
Lineage: Eukaryota; Metazoa; Chordata; Actinopteri; Cyprinodontiformes; Fundulidae
Product: U2 spliceosomal RNA
Exons: 1
Source: RefSeq, a predicted model, not a curated record